AUCUGUAGGAUUAUGACUGAACUCCUCUAAGUCAGAAUCCAUGCUGGCAAGCGACGAUAUUCACCUCGGCCUGUGUUUCAGUGCCAAUAGCCUUUGGUCAACACGCUAUUUCAAAGUAUUACCGAAUGUUGGUCGAGUUAAAUCCUCUGUAGACGACUUAACUAUGGAACGGGGUACUGUAAGCAUGAGAGUAGCCUUUGUGCUACGAUCUGCUGAGGUUCAGCCUCUGUUC
RNAcentral lists this ribosomal RNA (232 nucleotides) under Tiarina fusus. RNAcentral's name for it is "Tiarina fusa partial Eukaryotic large subunit ribosomal RNA". It matches the Rfam family "Eukaryotic large subunit ribosomal RNA", at positions 3104 to 3390 of the family's 3401-position model. The record is from RNAcentral. Lineage: Eukaryota; Ciliophora; Prostomatea; Prorodontida; Colepidae.